This 1311-nucleotide long non-coding RNA is filed under the name Gallus gallus (chicken). RNAcentral's name for it is "lncRNA (ENSGALG00010006879.1)". The record is from RNAcentral. Lineage: Eukaryota; Metazoa; Chordata; Aves; Galliformes; Phasianidae.
GUUUUUCUAGAGAUCCUUUAUCCUCUCCCCAACAAACACUUUUGGAGGAGCUUUCAUGUACCAACCUAGUGUCUUCUUAUACAGGUUUCCUGUUAUGGGAUCCACAUAUGAAAAGAUAGAGGCAUGGGUUGAAUGUCCUUGCUGUACACAGAAAAAUAUUCCCAGCCAGAGAAUACAAACAACAGCAUCACAAAUUUAGAGCAUGGAAGAGGCCACCUGACCCAAAUUUUGCUUUGCCAUUCUGCUUGUGGCAGAAGAACAAAGGUUGUUAAAUACUUAAUUACCCGGAUGGUACACAUGGCUGAUGGAUUGACUUGGAUCAACGCAGUUGUAAUUAUUUCACCACAGUGUGGCUGACUAAGAUGGAUACUUGGACUUCACUCAAUGGUUUUCAACAUUCCACCAGAAAUAAACAGAGCACAGACUAUUCUCAAUAUGUUUAUGCAUCACUAACUUAUAUUAGUUUUGGAAACUGUGAAAUUUAUGCCAAUUGUUUGUAAAACAGAGUACAGUUUUGAUUUUUUUUUUCUUGUCCCGCAGCCCAGAAUCAAUAUGUGUACAAUUUCCAUCCUCCUUACAUUACGUACUAUUCCUAAGAGCUGAGGCCAAGAAAUAAAUUGACCUAAUUCUUUUUCUCCAUCAAAAUUGUGGGUUAUCCUGUCCCUUCUACAUGGAUUUUGCAGAAAAAAAUUAAGACAUAAAUCCAGGUCUCAGUUUCUUUGGACAAAUAUACACAGAAUCAAAAGUUUGGCUAAGAGCAAAGCAGGUGAAGACACUGACACAAAAUUUGAAUUCAUAUGCUAAUAUAUUUCUACAAAACCUAGAAAUAGGUGGGCACAUGUAAGCUCCAGCUCCAGUGCAAUGCCUGACUACAGGUUGGCUCAUAGGAACAGUGCUAUACUAAUGACAAUAAAUGUCUCCCAAUCAGGAAUCAGUCAUGUAGAACCAGCUCACGGGUCCAGCAAAUGACAGAGCUAUUGUAUGUGAGCAUUUCUAAAUCCUUGUCUGCAUUUAGUUCUCUUUUAGAAGUACCCUCUAGAAGCAAUGGUAGGGAUACUGGAAAAGACAUGAAAACAUUGAUCUUUGUCCCUCCUUCCCUCCAUGUCUUCCAACCUUUGGUCUGAAAAGGAUGAUGAAAGUCCUGUUACGUUGUGGAUACCGAUGUCUUCACUGUGGCAACCAGCAGGACAGAUGUUACAGUGCUGUUUGAUGGCAGCACAAUUAAAGAAAAUAUUUGACAUGGAUGUGACCACAGAACUACAGCAAGCUGUGAAGUACAGGCUAGAGUUCAUUAAAAAGUCUUUACAUUUU